RNAcentral lists this long non-coding RNA (1094 nucleotides) under Sus scrofa (pig). RNAcentral's name for it is "lncRNA (ENSSSCG00015074727.1)". Lineage: Eukaryota; Metazoa; Chordata; Mammalia; Artiodactyla; Suidae. The record is from RNAcentral.
CUAAGAACCCUGAUUGACCAGGAAGAAAAAAAAUUAAGUCUGAAUCAUGUCCCUCAAGAGCUUGGCACACACGUGAUUUCAAUACAGUCCGUGUUCUGGAGGAAAGACGGGACUCUUGGAGCUUCAGUAAGGAACACAAAGGCCUUUGACUGCAAGGAACUCAGUCUACUGGGAGAGAUGGAUACAUCAACAGAAUCAUCGAAAUGCCUUUCCUUUAAAGCAAAGACCAUUCAGAAUCAAAGGCUCAUUUCCUGGAAAUACAGGGCUGGACGGCAGCCAUCCCUCAAAUGAGGCCCCAUGGAGAAGACUUGGAAAUGCACGCUCCCAACUCAGGUUUCCAGUGGAUGCAUAUUAAACCCCAAGGACUGGAAGCUGAGGUCAUGGAUUGCUUUCUCAUUGCUGUCAAGGUGCCCAAAAAAAAGAGACACUGUUUGCACCCCCGGGCUCACUGGUUCAGUCUUUCUCCUUCUUCCCCGGCUUCUCACCACUCCUCAUGCACUGUCAGUAGAAGCCCUGCCUCUACCUGCAAUAGGAAACUGAGCCGAGAGACGGUCCCCUUACGGCCUCUAACCUGCGCAUCUCAGGCACGAGGAAAUACGGAAGCAGGACAAGAAGCAAGAAAACAGAGACCAAGAGAGAGGCCGAAGCAAAUUAAUGCUGAACACUGGGGAGAAGCCCAUCCUUCUUCAGCUGCUGGUGAGUCGGUAUGAGCAGUAUCGGUCUACUCCUUAAUCCCCUAGCCCUUCAGUGGCUCUGGCUGACUCCGGCUGCCAGUGUCUACAUCCCUGGGUCUAAAGGCCUUAUUUCCAGAAGCUAUAGCAGGCUAGAGGCAUUGCAGAAUUAGCACCUCUCUAGAGCAGUCCUCAAUCAAUGGCUCACAGGGGUUGAUACGCCAGCUCCCUCACCCGUUGGGCUGGGUAUAUCUGGGUUAGUGUUUUGCAUCAUGUCACAGUGAGAGGAAGCUUUUAUGGCCCACUGUGAUUGUCUUAAUCACACAUCCUUUAUUGGCUGCCUGCUACUCUGUUCUCUUCCCUUCUCUACCGGUGUUUCCUGCACCUCCCAAAUAAAGCAGUUGCAUGUUAAUUCUUGUCUCA